GCCGUAGUACCUCACCAGUGAAAAACAGUCCUAUAGCCAAACUGUUGUCUGUUCCACUUUUUGUUCACUUUUUCUUGCUGAGCCUGAGAGAGCACAUGCCUUUUUACAGUGCUUCAACAGUAAACAUCUAAAACGUAUCCGCUGACUCCUGGAUGUUUAUUGUGGACCUGUUAGCUAUCUGCCAAGCUAGAAACCAGCUUCACACCCUAGUGAGGGCAGAAUAUCCAGAUUGGACGACUGUAACUCCCUCUACUCGGGCCUCCAACACUCUUCUCUUUGCCGGCUCCAGUUAAUUCAAAAUGCAGCUGCGCGUCUUUUAACCAAGAGCACCUGGCUGCAGCCACUGUGGAGCUCCACGGUAACCAGAAACACGUAACUUCAGUUAAAUCGACUUUGACAGCGAAAACUAAAUUGCGUUUUUGUUACUAUUGAUGCUGCUGAGAAAUAAAAAUGGUUUUAAGUGGGGGGUUUUUAACACUCUGGGUUUGUUCAAAAAAAUUCACCAUCCCCUAAAUUGUUCGUGGCCAAAAGUGUACAGUGGUCCCUCGCUAUAACGCGGCGCACCUUCCGCGACACUUGCUGUUUCGCUGAUUUAUUUAUUUGUUUUACAGUACAUCGUGUUGUGCGUUCUGAUUGCUGUAGACCAUUGUCAAUCAAUCUAGUCCAGUGUGUCCUGUACAGGAGCGGUCCCUAAUAGGCCCACGGACGGGUCCCGGUCCGUGAGUCCUUUGGUACCGUUCUGCGAUAGUUGAUCCUCCGAUGUGAAAUGUAUGGUUGUAGUUGUGUGUCUUAUUUUGAAAGAACUAUUUACGCGUUACCAUAGCGACCAGAGAGCAUUAAGAAGCAGAGAGGAGGAUGUCACUGUCAUUGUUGUUGGCACACAGCUCAAGUCACGUUUAUUAUUAUAUUUACAAAAUACCACAGUUUCUUUUUUAAAUUCUUUUGUUGUAUUUAUCCGCGACACCUUAAAGGUCGUUCCCUGAAAAUAUUGUCUGACAUUAAAGUGGUCUGUGGUGCAAAAAGGUUCGGGACUCCUGCUGUACAGUACAGAAUGCGUUUAGCUUGUCGAAUUUACAUAUAUCUUCGCUAGCAGUGUAACUCUGAAGUGCUGUACUGUAUGUUUGUAAGUUUUCUCCCAAACAAACACAACAAUGCCGACGAAACGUUUUGCACCCUCAAAUGCACCUUUAGGUUUCAUUCCAUGAUACUGGACUUAUGUUUCUACGAAGGUUUGAACUCUAAGAGUGUUUAAACAAAAGAGAAAAGUGUGAAAAUGUUCAUGUCUGUCUGAGAAAAGUGUAUAAAGCAUGUAGUGAGGGGUUUUACAGUCUUAACAUCUGUAAUAAUUGUAAAAAAUAAAGUUGGCUACUUCAUGGAUUUCACCUACCGCGGG
Astatotilapia calliptera (eastern happy) is the source of this 1393-nucleotide long non-coding RNA. NCBI's taxonomy places the organism in Eukaryota, Metazoa, Chordata, Actinopteri, Cichliformes, Cichlidae. The record is from Ensembl.